Long non-coding RNA from Patella vulgata (common limpet), 2053 nucleotides. RefSeq lists it as uncharacterized. The transcript is spliced from 5 exons. The record is from RefSeq and is a predicted model, not a curated record. NCBI's taxonomy places the organism in Eukaryota, Metazoa, Mollusca, Gastropoda, Patellidae.
CACUAACCUCAACAUCCAACCAACUAUUUGUAACGAUGCAUAGAUAAGUUGAGAUCUAUCUAUAUAGUUAUACAACAGGUGCGUGAUUAUUAAACCAGGUGAUAAGAUAAUUAACAGGUGCUUUCAUUUAAAUAAAGCACAUUGUUUUAGAAAUAACAUCUACUCCUCCACCAUGAGCCGACCGUAUGGAUCAACUGAACUCAUAAAUAAAGCAACAAAUGGCGGUGUAACUGUAUCAUGGGCGUGGCCAGUUCUACACAAAAUGGCCUUGUUUCACUUGGCACCCGGAGGUUUGGCAGUCAUGAUGGGCAUUAUCACCAUGUAUGAGAUUAAAAAAGAUGAAGUUGUGGUGAAUUUUAACACAGCAGCGCCACUUUCAAUAGGAUUGAUGAGUUUGUUGUCUGGUUCGUUUCUUUUUACGGAAUGUUUUCUACAGUUCAGAAACAAUUCCACAGAGAGAAAAGUUAGUCCAUUGCUGUGGUUUCAUUUUAUAAUGGAAGUUCUCACCAUUGCCCUGUGUCUAUGGACGACCCUAUGGAAUGCCUCGGGCCUUUGUAUCUCCGAAAUAGCUCUUACUCAUAAAUGCACCAAAGAUGAAGACGUCACGCAGGGUCACGUGUUAGCAGUUAUCGAUUUCGUCAUCAUUCUUUGUGUAUGCAUCUACAGCAUCAUAUGUUUCGUCAUCAAGCUUCACUAUCGUCAUGACCUUGGACUUGCCAUAGCAACGAGUCAACUCCUAGCUAAUCAAAAGCAGCUAGAGAAUCAGAUGAUCCAUAUGAAUAUUAUGAAGUCAUCCAAGUCACGUGAGAGAAUAUCGUUAAAGGAUGAGAACUGUGGUGAAGGAUAUUAUCAAAAUGGAAGUAUAAAUUAAAUUAUAGAUAGAUGAAUAGAUAUUUCGAUGGUUGACGAAAUCGGUUUUAUUUACGACAUCAAUUGGACCAUAACGAUUGUUUGGUGGAUGCAAGAUGCUCUAAAGCUAAUUAGCCCCUAGGGUCGGCUAGAUCUAUUUGUUAAGGCCAGCUCAAUUUUCAGCAAGGUCGUUGAGAUGUAAAUAAGAUUAGGGCACGUGAUUGCUGGCGAGAUUGUAGCUUAGGGUAAGCAUUGGGGCUAGGAUUAGGGUUAGGGUUGGGAAUUGCGCUAGCCCUGUUUACAUCUCGUGACCUUUGACCAAACUUAUAGCCUUAUCAAAUAGAUCUACCCCCUUAAGGACCCGUUUCACGAAGGGUAGUAGGCCUGCGUAGAGUUACGUACAAGUACACGAAGAAUGAACAACGUUGUUUAGUAAAAUGUUCGAUUUUCAUGUACGCUACUUUGUGAAACGGGGCCUUAGUUAAUAAGAGACAUGGUGUCCCAAGCUAUGAACGCCAUUGCUCAAAAGUCGCGAUUAUACAGCGCGGGGUAAACGGGGCUUUUCGGAUCAUUUUCCAUCUACUUACACUUAAUAAAUGGGCCAAAUACCUGAAUGAAUACAAUUGCAAGUGAGCAUGUAGUCAUGUAUUUAUAGGACAUAUAAAGUUUGGUAUCAGUGAAGAUUUACACACGACAGCUAUCUCCAAGCAGGAAUGGACAGAACGGGAGUCCGUGAGUAUGUUGACGGGAUCACAAAAGAGUAUUCUCACGGAAAUUGGGGACCUGUUUUAAGUCGUUUUAGAUAUUGGACUUAUUUCUUGCUAUAGUAUAUAUUGGAUGAUUUGCAGUCUUCGGAGGUUUGACACCCAGCAGUCAGUUUUUGUAUAUACUUAUAUGAGCUUCAAAGGAACAAUAAAAAAAUCAUGCACAAUUGCCCUUUUCAGUUUUGAACUUUCAUAUUCAUGGGCCCCAUAGACCCUGAACCCCCCAUGUCAGUGGCGCCCCCAGUUAGUUCCUGUCUCUAAGUGAACCAAGAUUGACUAGAGCUUUACACAUCGACUGUAUGUAGUCAUCACGUUACAGCGCUCUAUAGGGUUGAUUCUGAUAUCAAGAGAGAUUAAAUUAUACAGAAUAUUCAUAUACCAUUAAUAAAAUCUGAUCCAUUAUUCUAAAUAUUACACCAUCAAUAAAACCUGAUUCAUUA